RNAcentral lists this long non-coding RNA (363 nucleotides) under Homo sapiens (human). Its description in RNAcentral is "non-protein coding lnc-SSTR4-2:10". Lineage: Eukaryota; Metazoa; Chordata; Mammalia; Primates; Hominidae. The record is from RNAcentral.
ACACACCUCCCUGCAGCCUGGCACUGGAAACUGCUGAGCCAUGCAGGGCAGCCUGGUGGCGGCUAGGACACUUCUGCAGAGGACCUGGAGUUGGGCUGCUCCCGGGGCUCCCAUCUCUUGCUGGGUCUGUUUUCAGGUGCACCCUCCUCCUCCAGGAGGCAGGGGCAAGACCAGCUUCAGCCCUUCUUGCUCUCCAUGGUGGGAUUUUAAAGGAACAGAGAACCCUGGUGGGAGAGGUGAAUCUGAGCUCCUCGGGCCAUCGGGUGUCCUGUGGAGCAGAGGCAGGCCCGUGAGGGUGAUUUUCAGAAUGCUGCCUGCUUCUGAGAGUGAGAUGAAGACCCUCUGGGGUCCCGUUGAUGUCAC